UUUUUAAUUUAAUAUAGGAUUUCGCUAUAUUUUUCUAUAAAUGAACUUUAUCUUAUGCUUAAUAGAAAGAAUGAAAUAAAAAAAUGGGGUCACCGUUCAUUUACGCUCACAAUCUGCCUUCGAAAGAAACAUACAUUAUUGUUAAUGUCCUUUUUUUCUGUUGAACUAAUAUGAGAAAUAAUGGUAAUAUACUGAAAUGCAGUCAACUUUAGCGUUUGAUAGUUCAUUGAUAACAUUCUGGCGUAUCACAAACAAACAACUUGUAACGUCUCAUUUCAUUGGCCGAAAGAUUCAAAUACAACAACAUUUGUAGUUUGCAUGUGAAUUGACACAGGUGACUGACUAUGGAAUGUACUAUGUUACUACGAACGUAAAAACAAGGAUUUGACAAUGUAAAGUUUACAAAUCUUUGGUCAAAA
RNAcentral lists this long non-coding RNA (419 nucleotides) under Mytilus galloprovincialis (Mediterranean mussel). Lineage: Eukaryota; Metazoa; Mollusca; Bivalvia; Mytilida; Mytilidae. The record is from RNAcentral.